UGUGGGAGCGAGCCUGCUCGCGAAAGCGGACGGUCAGUCACUUCCUUGUUGAAGCGACCGCCGUCAUCGCGAGCAGGCUCGCUCCCACA
This 89-nucleotide non-coding RNA is filed under the name Pseudomonas baetica. Lineage: Bacteria; Pseudomonadati; Pseudomonadota; Gammaproteobacteria; Pseudomonadales; Pseudomonadaceae. The record is from RNAcentral.